This is a long non-coding RNA of Sipha flava (yellow sugarcane aphid), 1406 nucleotides long. RefSeq lists it as uncharacterized. NCBI's taxonomy places the organism in Eukaryota, Metazoa, Arthropoda, Insecta, Hemiptera, Aphididae. The record is from RefSeq and is a predicted model, not a curated record. The transcript is spliced from 5 exons.
UGGCAGUGGUCGCGGACGGGCGUCCGUGCCAUUUCGUGCGGCGUCCAACAACAACGGCAGCAGUCACAGCAGCAGCAGCAGCAGCAGCAGCAGCAGCAGACGUAGUACAUCGGCGUCCGUCGUCCCGUUGGCGGCCGUGUGUACACGUAACGCGCGGUGUCCCGUGUCGUCGGCUGCGGCGGCGACAGCGACAACGACGGCGGCGGCGACGGCGACGGCGGCAGCAGUAACGGCAGCGGUACCGGACAAGAGCGACACACAGAAUAUAUUGGCGGUGCUAAACACUCUUUUAGGAGAUCUUAGCCUAUGAUGAGCGAGCAUAGCGAGCUGCAAAUUUUUUGAUCAUACAAAAAAAAUGUGGGCCGCUGAAAUCUUCUGCACCCGGGCCGAAGUAUAUUACAUGAAUAAGAGACUACUGACUUAUAUAUCAAAUGUUAUUGUUGAUAAUCAAUAAAAUAGUCAAGUGGAAGAAUUACACUUCAAAUAAAAUUGUUCAAGUAUAAUCUUUAUACUUAAUAUUAAGGUCAUCAUUACCUGAAGUGAAUUAUGUCUAAUGAAGUGUGAAAAUGAAUAAGAAAAUAAGAAACCAGCUGUAUUUAUGAAAUCAUGGAAAUCUAAAACAAAAUAGAACGUAUUGUUUUAUCAAAAAUCAUUGAUUAAUUUUAAAAGAUCGAAACAAAUGGACCAGGAAUUUUAUAACUGAUGAAAAGAAUUGUCAAAACUAGUGGAGUUUACAUUAGUACAUUGUUUAAUAACUAUUAUUUUAUUUUAUUUUAUAUUAUUUUAAAGUAAAAGCUUGUAUUCAAAGAAAAAUAUAAUAUAGUCUUACAUUUCUUUUUUAUUCUUAUGUUUAUGUUGAAUAAUUGUUUAAAAAAUACCUUAAAGGUAUGAUUCUUUAGGACGUGACUUGUAUGGCUGACAGUACUGGUUUUACUAUUUUCAUAUAAAAUAGAUUUCCUACACCACCACAGCUGCAUGCAACGAACGCUUGCGACAGUUAAAACGCACCGGCCACUUGACUGUUGACCAAAAUGCUGUAAAAUCCUUCAAUUAUUCUAGUAAGAAACAAAUUGUGGGUUUUCCUUGUAUUGCAUAUUUUACAUAGUUAAGUUGCAUGUUUGAUUAUUGUUUCUUUUCCGUUGAUUUCUUCUAAAAGAAGAAUUUUGAUGAGAAUUUUAUUUCUGACUUAGUAACAUGUCUGGUUUUAUAAUAAAAACUAAGGUGUGUAGUGCGUCGAAUUUUGUAUUGUAGGGAAUCCAUAAUUGAACUGUGCGACCAAAAUUUCAGUCGCACUGCGUCAGCUGCACGAGUCACGUUUCUACAAUCUUGUCCUAAAGAAUCACACCUUAAGUGUAAUAAAUAUAUUAUAAUGAAUCUUAUUUAGAUUAAAAAAAAAACCUAUAAAA